This is a long non-coding RNA of Meriones unguiculatus (Mongolian gerbil), 3662 nucleotides long. RefSeq lists it as uncharacterized. The record is from RefSeq and is a predicted model, not a curated record. NCBI's taxonomy places the organism in Eukaryota, Metazoa, Chordata, Mammalia, Rodentia, Muridae. The transcript is spliced from 4 exons.
CAUUACACAUUAAAAUUUUAUACUUUUCUUGACGCUAGAAUGCACUUGCUCUGUUACUAAACGCAGCUUCAGUUUUAGCUGUGCACGACCCCACGGAAAAGUCCAGCUUUAAUAAAGAUGUAAUGAACGGACUGGUGCUAGGUGCCCCACCCCUCCCCGCUUAAAUCUGAGGGAUGGAGUGUGUGUUUACAGAAUGUUUAAGCAUGCAAAAUGCAACCCCGAAGAUAUCUAUUUGGUUGGAUGGAGAGUAUUUAAUCAUUUAAAAAGUAGGCCGAAGAGACUUAGCCCAACCACAGUGGUAAACAGCUAUGAGCUGCAACAUAUAUAAAUUAAGUGUUCACUAAUUGGGGUGUGGAUAGAAGCCAUCCUUCAGCUAAGUGUUUCCAGUAUUAGUAUCUACUCUAGUUAAAGUAGUUAAGGAGUCCAUUUUAAUUAAGAAUGACAACUUUAUUCUCAAGGUUCCUUUUAUUUUGAUGGUUAAUAAGAUAAUUUUAUCACUUGCGUGUUACUGCUCUAGAGAGACAAUUUUAGGGAGUGGUUCAGGGAGAGUUUCAGCGGUGGAGUUUUCCUGAGGUCAUAUGUGUUACUGACCUAUGAUGGCCUCUGUCAUUCAGACACCUUCACCGGGGAAUGACUUAGGCAUGAGGACCUAUACUCUCCUCAUUCUCUUUUUCCACAAGUUAGCAAAAUGCCUUUGUUAUCUCAGAGAAGAGGUAGCAACCAGGAGUGUUUGCCACCAAAGUGGAGAGUUCAUUGUCUCCUCCAGUGUGUUGUGCUGUGUUGUGUGUGUGUGUGUGCUGAAUAGCUUCUUACCAGCAGGGAAUGGAAGUGUUUAUUUAAGAACCAUUUAAUGAAGGUGGUCUUUCAGAGGGAUCAGUUAGGUCAUCUGUACCCUUGCCCAUUUUCUUUUUCUUUGUUAAUAUCAUUUUUUGAAUUAUUUAUACAGCAUUCUGCUUGUGUACCAGAAGAGAGCACCAGAUCUCACCAUAGAUGGCUGUGAGACACCAUAUGGUUGCUGGGAAUUGAACUCAGGACCUUUGGAAGAACAGCUAACAUUCUUAACCUCUGAGACAUCUCUCCAGCCCCCCUUGCUCAUUUUCAACCCAGUGCUGCAUCAAUUUUAGCAGUAAUUUGAAGAGAUCUAGUUGCUUACUUUAAUCAUUUUUGCAGCUAGUACAGAAGAUAUAAUUUUAUCCUUUUUUUUACAAACUGGUUUGUAUUCAGAUCUAUCUUCGUUACUCAAAAUUGGUUAAAUGUACAAUAACUACAAUAUAUUAAAUUUGGGUUUGCCUCACAAAUAAUAGUAAUAAAAUGAUAUUCAAAUUCCUCCUCCAUUAGAAGGAACUGAAGUGGAGAUUUUGGGUGCCUAAGGACUUUUCAGUUGUGAGUUCAAACCUCUGUACUGUAAUUGCUGAAUGGGUGAUUCCUGGCCUCAUUGCCCACAUUUGCCCAGUGAAGAUAAUGUCACAAGGUGUGGUGGUUUAAAUAAGAAUGGUCUCCGUAGGAUCAUAUAUUUGAAUGCUUGGCCACCAGGCAGGGGUGAGUGAAAGGAUUUGAAGGGCUAAGGAAGGGAUGUAACCUUGUUGGAGGAAGUCUGUCGCUGAGGGUAGGCUUUGAGAUUUCAGAAGCCCAUGGGCAAGUCCAGUCUCUUUCUUUUUGCUGCCUUUGGAUCCAGAUGUCGAGCUCUCAGCUACCAUGUCUGCCUGCAUGCCACCACACUCCCUGCCAUGAAGAUAAUGGACUAACCCUCCGAAACUGUAAGCCAUCCCCAGUUAAAUGCUGUCUUUUAUAAGAGUUGCUGUGGCCGUGGUGUCUCUUCUCAGCAACAGAACACCGAUUAAGGCACCAGGAGUGUGCCUGUGGGAAAGGAUAUGAGGAGAACAGCCAUAUGUGAGGUGCCCUGGAUGAAUAUACUCACUCGUGUCACCUUGGAGAACUAAGACUUUCCGGUGUCCUCAUUUGCUCAGACACUUAAAACUCAAGCCCUGCUUCAUGCUCAGGCCGACCGUUUGCAUGCUUCUGAGGGUCUGUUCAAACAUGCCACCAGUGUGUCCAGCUGACGGCAGUGACAGAGCUGUGCUCCACCUUCCUCCCCGGAAGCUGCUGGAAGGGGAGCUCAGCAGCAACACACUGCUCCAGAUGGUGAGCUGAGAUGAAGCUGUCUUCUUAGCCUUGGUUGGAAUGGACAAUCCUUGCAAAAUCUCAGAAGGGUCUAUGGUGUCAGCAUCCCCACACAGCUACCUGUAGGGGCAGGGAUGAUGGCAGUAUCUGCUGGCUGUCGAUGAUGACUGUGUUUGAUGGUCUUGACCACAUGUCUGGUGGAGUAUUAGCCUGGCUAAGUGUGCCCUGAAGCAGUAUUUUGGGGGCGAUGUUACUUCUUUAACUCUUGUUUAGGAUAGCUGCGUCCUCUGUGACAUCCUCUACUGACCGUCAAGAUCAACUAGUCAGUUUUUGAGAAAACACCAAUCUGAAAAUUGUCAUAUCUUCGGGUAGAUGAAUUUUUAAGCAUCAGUAUGGCAUGCUAUUUGCAUAUACCUCUUAUACCGGAGCCUUUCUGUGUCCUUAUAGUCAAAAUGUAAAGACUGCUCCAUAAGAUGGAUUGUUAGUUGGUACUGUAACUAGCCGAGUCAUAGGCCCUGGGGAAGAACCUUCUAUGAUUCUGCUGAAUAGAGUAAUAAGCUGUCUCUUAAGUUCCUGUCUCCCUACUCAUGGAUUAUUGUAUCUCUCAACCCUCAUCAGUAGGUGGUGAUUAAUACAGAGCCCCUCAACUGGUCAACAUGUAGAGAAUAAUGGAAUAAAUGGGACACCUACAUCACACUUCCCAUACAGGUCAGGGAUUAUCAUGGAAGAAAAGGCAGCAACCUUGUAAGAGCCAGAGCAAGUGAAUGUCUGCAGCAAAACAGCAUUUGUCGGAUGUGAACGGUUUCACAUGUGGAUUUAUAAUGGCAAACUGCAAGCCUAGGACCUAUACAAGAUCAAGACAGCCGAACUCCCAGCAUGGAUGGGAGAGGGGCUCAGGAAGCGCCACCCUAUCUGAGGAGCUGUUGGCAACUGACGGAUAAAUGAGAGAGGAAAAGGGAGAGGGAGUGUUCUCUCCCCAGGAUGAAGAUCCUGAGAGAUGACUCAUGCUCCAGUAGAUGGUCCUAUAUCCUUGCAAAUGCAGACAGGACUAAAUGGACCCAAUGGCUAUUAAAUUAUAUAUGUGAGGUUGGGAGGGAAAGGGCAUGGGGAGUGAAUAAGAGGAAUGGGAGGGGGAGGAGCAAUUCAAGUACAUUAUCUGAACAUAUGGACAAGUAAAAUAUUUAAUAUUAACAAGUAAAAUAUUUAAUGAAAAGAAGACCCUUCAACAUUUCUUUUAUUAUUGAUAUGCUGAAAUCAAAUCUUUUUUUCAGUACUUCUAAAUGUGAAUAAUAUUUUAACUGAAUAUAGAAAACUACAUGACAACAAUUUCUUCCCAACUUUAAAGUAUCAUUUUGUUUUCUGGCUUCUGUGCUUUUGUGGAGAACUUAUUUGAAGCUCUUGGGAAGGUAAUAGUUUUUCUUUCUUAUUUGCUGUUCAUGGUUCCAGCUUUAUAUUUGUCAGUUAGCUAUUGUCCUAUGAUGUCACCAAUAAUGUGUUUAUCUUGAUUUGGUUUUGACAUCCUGCAUGUCCAAUGGAAAAUU